UACGGAGGGUGCAAGCGUUAUCCGGAUUUACUGGGUUUAAAGGGUGUGUAGGCGGGCUUUUAAGUCAGUGGUGAAAUCUCCGAGCUCAACUUGGAAACUGCCAUUGAUACUAUUAGUCUUGAAUUCUGUUGAGGUGGGCGGAAUAAGUCAUGUAGCGGUGAAAUGCAUAGAUAUGACUUAGAACACCAAUUGCGAAGGCAGCUCACUAAACAGAUAUUGACGCUGAGGCACGAAAGCGUGGGGAUCAAACAGG
Molecule: ribosomal RNA, 253 nt
Filed under: uncultured bacterium
Lineage: Bacteria
Description: partial 16S ribosomal RNA
Rfam family: Bacterial small subunit ribosomal RNA
Source: RNAcentral